UACGUAGGUGGCAAGCGUUAUCCGGAUUUAUUGGGCGUAAAGAGAACGCAGGCGGUCUUUUAAGUCUGAUGUGAAAGCCUUCGGCUUAACCGGAGUAGUGCAUUGGAAACUGGGAGACUUGAGUGCAGAAGAGGAGAGUGGAACUCCAUGUGUAGCGGUGAAAUGCGUAGAUAUAUGGAGGAACACCGGUGGCGAAAGCGGCUCUCUGGUCUGUAACUGACGCUGAGGCUCGAAAGCGUGGGUAGCGAACAGG
Molecule: ribosomal RNA, 253 nt
Filed under: uncultured bacterium
Lineage: Bacteria
Description: partial 16S ribosomal RNA
Rfam family: Bacterial small subunit ribosomal RNA
Source: RNAcentral